Molecule: ribosomal RNA, 518 nt
Filed under: Stomoxys indicus
Lineage: Eukaryota; Metazoa; Arthropoda; Insecta; Diptera; Muscidae
Description: partial 16S ribosomal RNA
Rfam family: Bacterial large subunit ribosomal RNA (bases 389-518)
Source: RNAcentral
GUCUUUUUGAAUUAAAUUUAAAGUCUAACCUGCCCACUGAAUUUAUUUUAAAUGGCCGCAGUAUUCUAACUGUGCAAAGGUAGCAUAAUCAUUAGUCUUUUAAUUGAAGGCUGGUAUGAAUGGUUGGACGAGAUAUUAACUGUUUCAUAUAAAUUUAUAAUAGAAUUUUAUUUUUUAAUCAAAAAGUUAAAAUAUAUUUAAAAGACGAGAAGACCCUAUAAAUCUUUAUAUUUAUAUUAUUAUAUUUUUAUAGAUUUAUUUUAAUAUAAUAAUUAAUAAUAUUUUAUUGGGGUGAUAUUAAAAUUUAAUAAACUUUUAAUUUAAAUAAAUCAUUAAUUUAUGAUUAAUUGAUCCGUUAAUAACGAUUAAAAAUUUAAGUUACUUUAGGGAUAACAGCGUAAUUUUUUUGGAGAGUUCAUAUCGAUAAAAAAGAUUGCGACCUCGAUGUUGGAUUAAGAAAUAUGUUUAGGUGUAGCAGCUUAAAUAAUAAGUCUGUUCGACUUUUAAAUUCUUACGUG